UUGAUUUUUCUUGUGUUUUGCAAAUUGUA
Molecule: non-coding RNA, 29 nt
Filed under: Mus musculus (house mouse)
Lineage: Eukaryota; Metazoa; Chordata; Mammalia; Rodentia; Muridae
Source: RNAcentral